Rattus norvegicus (Norway rat) is the source of this 3380-nucleotide non-coding RNA. NCBI's taxonomy places the organism in Eukaryota, Metazoa, Chordata, Mammalia, Rodentia, Muridae. The record is from RefSeq and is a predicted model, not a curated record.
UGAGAGGCUGAGGGGGGAUUUUUGAGAGGGGAUGGGAGGGAAAUGAGGUUGGAGAACCAGCACAGAGUAGAGGCUUUUUAGAAAUAAGACGGGCUUUCAGGAAAUGGGGAAGCAUGUCUCCACCCCUCCCUGUAUCCACAGUCAUGAUUUUUGGUCUCUCGGGAGGAAGGAUCAUAAAGACCUCUGAAAAUCUAAUGGAGGAACAGACACCAACCCCAGAAACUGCCUCUCUCCUGAGGCACAAUCGACUCUGGCAGUUAUAUCUCUAGAUGGAGCCAUCAAUGGGUCUAUCCUCAGAGUCCUUCAAGGGGCCUUCGGGAGUCAUCAGAGCCCUUCCACUUGGCAUUUUUCUGAGAAAGAGCAACGGCAGGCGAACACCCCAAAAGCCUAGUCAGGUCUGGAGAAAGCUGGGGCCCCAAGCGGCCAGGCAGAAGGAGAGCAGGCGAGAAGAGCAGGCGGGACAGCGAGGAGACAAAACACAGACAACGGGAAAAGGAGACUCAGGUCAGAUGGCAGACGGACAAUCGGGGCAGGCGGGUGGGAUAGCAGUCUGGGUGCGUCCAGCUGGAAUCUGCACCUGCAGAUUCCCAGCAAGCCAGGCAGCUGAACCUGGGCCUCUACUGCAGGGAAUCCCAGCUGCUGGGCAGCGGAGUGUGCAGGGAAGCGAGCCCACGACUCCCUCUUGUGGUGAAAGGGAAGUGAUCCUUGGAUACUCCAGGCCCGAUGUUGGGGCUUACAGCAUAAGAGCUUGUGAGAAAGACUGCUGAUAGGACGGUGGGCUGAGAGACAGGGUAGGGACAAUGAACAGUUCUGUGGACAAAUGCCUAGAGGAAGGGAUACACGGUUAGAGGACGGCUGGACUGAUGAGUGGACAGCACAGAGACAGAUGGAUCUGUGCAAGGAUGGACGGACGGGUGGGUGGAUGGAUGGAUGAAUGGAUGGAUGGAUGGGUGGGUGGAUGGAUGGAUGAUGGAUGGAUAAAUGGAUGGUUGGUUGGUUGGUGAAUGGAUGAAAUGGGUGGAUGGGUGGAUGGAUGGAUGAAUGGAUGGAUGGAUGGGUGGAUGGAUGGAUGGGUGGAUGGAUGGAUGAUGGAUGGAUGGAUGGGUGGAUGGAUGGAUGAUGGGUGGAUGGAUGGAUGAUGGAUGGGUAGAUGGAUGGUUGGUUGGUUGGUGAAUGGAUGAAUGGGUGGGUGGAUGGAUGGAUGGGCAAAUAAAUGAACAACUGUCUACACUUGGGUGAGUAGCAACAGCUAGGCCAAUGGAUGGUGGACAGGCAGCUGGAUGCCCAGAGGCAGUGCUGAGCUGAUAAAUACUUACCAACUGGCUCUUGGGAAACACACCCUAUGUCUUGAUGUUGCCACAGUGUGAAAACCCUCACCUCAGCCAGGUGUUACUGAAGUAACACCAUUGAAUGUGGACUUGUAAUGCAGACAAGCUAGCCCAAGCUCACCCCAGCAUUUCCCUGGAGGAAAGGGUGAGUGAAUGGAAGUUGUGGGAGGUGGGGGGAGAAAGAAAAGGAAGAAAGGGAGGGAUGGACCACAGCAUAGAAGCAUGAAUGGUGGGUGACUGGUUUACAUGCUGUCUGGAGAAUGACGAGACAGAGAAGCAGACAUUUAAAUACAUGGCCUGUGGGAUCCACAGGGGAUUCUGAUGAAGCACAUAGAUGAUAGAGACACAGUCCACGUCUGGGCAGACAAGCUAACAGAAGAUGGAGCAGGGACUCUGCAGGCAUCACACGAGUCCUGGCUUCCCAAACAAGCCAGGGAAGCCUCUGGACCUCUCUGCAGUUGCAGACGUCCUCAUUGAUAAGCAUGAGAUGUUCAGGACAUCUAGCUUUGUGCAUGGCUGAACGCACAUGUAUCCCCAGGCGCCCCAUGUAGACCUGGAGCUUAGUAAUGACUCAAGUCUGGGAGCCACAGUUUGGCAACUAUUAAUACAGCCUCGGUGUUUAUUAAAUGGAUGGAUGGAUGGAUCAAUGGGUGGAGGAGGAAUGACUGGAUGGCAGACAGACAGAGGGAUAAGGUCUUCUUACCCAUAUAUAAAGCGGAGUCCUGGCCUUACCAUUCAUGGUUCCGUUGUGUGGCCAUGUCACCUAACCUCUCUGAGCUUCACUCAUAUAAAUCAAACUGUUCCUGUCAGCAACACUGCCCGCUCACACCCAGCACACUGGGCAGAAUGGGCACACACUGAAUCCUGCUCAGCUACAGAGCGAAGCCAUCAAGUCCCUUGGUGGAUCCUUACUCUCUAAUGGUCAAAAGAAUACGGAAGCCUUAGAGCCAAGGUCAUGGGCUGAGCUGAGCAGAAUGGGACUUGAGGCCAGAGUGGGCGUUUCAGUAAUGAGCCCAACCUUCCCACACGGCCCUAGGUGGGUCACAAUGGUUGCUUAUUAAAGAGGUCACAGGCAGAGCGAAAAGGAGGGUCUCACUGCAGCCCACCUCACACCCAGCAAACCUCUGUUGACCAUGGUGGCCAAUCAAACAGCCACCUGGGGACCAACGAAGCUCAAGGCACAUGCUCACACCUGAGACGGUGGCUUCUAAGUUCCCUUCAGAGACCCUUUGAGCAAUUUUUUGGGCUAUAGUUGAUCGGACCAGGCAUCUUGAGGUAGGGACUCCACUAGAUAGCUUGGAGCUAGGGUUCCAGUCAGACUCCCAAGAACAGGAUAAAAUGCUUCCCCAGAUGCCUGCCACUCAGAGCCCUGCAGCACACAAGGCACACACAGCACAUAUAUGCAAGCAACAGUGGCCCCGAAACACGCAGUGGCUGCAAUGCCGGGCGGAGAGCGGGGACCCCAGCAGCUCUGGAGAGGAAAGUCUCACAGGCAGUGCUUAGCAGUGUCCCUAGACAGAGAGGGCAGAGAGGAAAAGCCAUGCACGCCUUCCCAUCUGCCUGGGAACCAGCCCUUAGGAAGCACAGCGGCCAUAGCAGAUGGGUAGAGAAAAUGCCCUCCUGUUAAAAAUCCCUAGAACUGCACUAUGGGACAUUGCUGCAGAAGACUGCGAAGCCACACCCAACCCCUACCCUAAAGAGAGUUUCUUAAGGGGCACAAAUUUCCAAUAAGACAGAGACCUAGGGGGAGAAGCCCAUUCCAGCACUCCUUAAAGCUGUAUGGGUCACUUGCGCCCUGAAGUCAGAGCUAAAAGGUGAACUCUGAUUUAGGGUCCCUGGGAGGAAGGUCCUGGCAUCUGUGACAUCAACCAGCUCCUGCAGGUCCCUCUCAGGUCUCCAGCAAGAAGGUAAGGGGGGAGCCAGGCAUAGUGGUGCCCACUUUAAUCCCUGCACUAGGGGGACAGAGGCAGAUGGAUCUCUGAGUUCAAGGCCAGGCUGGUCUACAUAGAGAAAUCCUGUCUCAAAAAAAAAAAAAAAAAAAAAAAAAGAAGA